This 1313-nucleotide long non-coding RNA is filed under the name Canis lupus dingo (dingo). RNAcentral describes it as "lncRNA (ENSCAFG00020007060.1)". Lineage: Eukaryota; Metazoa; Chordata; Mammalia; Carnivora; Canidae. The record is from RNAcentral.
GGAGGACCUAGAAGCGGACUCUGCCUGGGCUUGCCUGGGCUUGUUCAGAGCCGGGCUGCUUCCCUCGGCGACCACGCGGAUCCGGGGGGAUUUCGGGAUCUUGCGGGAGCCCUGCAGCCCGGCGCCGGCGAGGAGGGCGCUGGAAGCCCGCGGCCCUGCUCGCCCCGGGCCUCGGCGUCCACGGCCGGCGCAGGGAAGGCACAAGUGGAUCCUGAAAUUCAGGAGAAACGGAGGUGCUGCCUGCCCUUCUGGGAAUGCUGAUUCCCCUCGACCCAGACUGACAAUAAUUGUUAAGGUUAAAACAUCCGAGUAAGUCUUUUAUGGACUUGUCCCAGAGAUCUCCCACUGUUGUGUUAUUUUUUUUUUACCGUGUAUUUAGGCUUAUUUUUAUUUUUUUCCAUUUUACUUAGUUAUCGUACAAUGCAAUAUUGGUUUCUGGAGCAGAAUUCACUGGUUUAUCACUUACAUAUAACACCCAGUGCUCAUCACAACAAGUGGCCUCCUGGAUCCCCAUCACCCACCUAGCCUCUCCCCCACCACCUUCCUCCAUCAACCCUCCGUUCUCAAUUGUUAAGAAUCUCUUAUAGUUUAUCUCCCUCUCUCCUCCCCACUCCUUUGCAUAUGUUCAUCUGUUUUCUUUCUUAAGUUCCACAUUUGAGUGAGAUCACAUGGUAUUUGUCUUUCUCUGACUGGCUUAUUUCACUUAGCAUAAUACCCAGAAUUCCAUCCAUGUUGUUGCAAAUGGCAAGAUUUCGUCCUUUUUGAUGGCUGAGUAGUAUUCUAGUGUGUGUGUGUGUGUGUGUGUGUGUGUGUGUGUGUGUGUGUGUGUGACAUCUUUAUCCAUUCAUCAGUUGAUGGACAUUUGGGCUCUCUCAAUAGUUUGGCUAUUGUUGAUAAUGCUACUAUAAACAUUGGGGUCCAUGUGUCCCUUCAAAUCUGUAUUUUUGCAUCCUUUGGGUAAAUACCUAUUAGUGCAAUUGCUAGGUCAUAGGGUAAUUCUGUUUUUAACUUUUUGAGAAGAUUCCAUACUGUUCUCUGGAGUGGCUGCACCAGUUUGCAUUCCUUUUUAUUUUUUUUUAUUUUUUUGCAUUCCCAUCAACAAUGCAGGAGGGUUCCUCUUUCUCUGCAUCCUCACCAACACCUGUUGUUUCAUGUGUUGUUCGUUUUAGCCAUUCUGACAGGUGUGAGGUGGUAUCUCAUCGUGGUUUUGAUAGAGUGAUGCUGAGCAUCUUUUCAUGUGUCUGUUAGCCAUCUGGAUGUCUUUUUCAGAAAAGUGUCUAUUCAUGUCUUCUGCCCAUUUCUUCACUGGAUUA